CGGACGGGUGAGUAAUGUCUGGGAAACUGCCCGAUGGAGGGGAUAACUACUGGAAACGGUAGCUAAUACCGCAUAACGUCGCAAGACCAAAGAGGGGGACCUUAGGGCCUCUUGCCAUCGGAUGUGCCCAGAUGGGAUUAGCUAGUAGGUGGGUAACGGCUCACCUAGGCGACGAUCCCUAGCUGGUCUGAGAGGAUGACCAGCCACACUGGAACUGAGACACGGUCCAG
Molecule: ribosomal RNA, 230 nt
Filed under: uncultured bacterium
Lineage: Bacteria
Description: partial 16S ribosomal RNA
Rfam family: Bacterial small subunit ribosomal RNA
Source: RNAcentral